CUCGAAUCAGGUAGGACU
RNAcentral lists this ribosomal RNA (18 nucleotides) under Metarhizium anisopliae. RNAcentral describes it as "partial 28S ribosomal RNA". The record is from RNAcentral. Lineage: Eukaryota; Fungi; Ascomycota; Sordariomycetes; Hypocreales; Clavicipitaceae. RNAcentral also lists the same sequence under 11 other names.